Molecule: transfer RNA, 66 nt
Filed under: Hypsilurus modestus (modest forest dragon)
Lineage: Eukaryota; Metazoa; Chordata; Lepidosauria; Squamata; Agamidae
Description: tRNA-Tyr
Rfam family: tRNA
About the family: Transfer RNA (tRNA) molecules are approximately 80 nucleotides in length. Their secondary structure includes four short double-helical elements and three loops (D, anti-codon, and T loops). Further hydrogen bonds mediate the characteristic L-shaped molecular structure. tRNAs have two regions of fundamental functional importance: the anti-codon, which is responsible for specific mRNA codon recognition, and the 3' end, to which the tRNAs corresponding amino acid is attached (by aminoacyl-tRNA synthetases). tRNAs cope with the degeneracy of the genetic code in two manners: having more than one tRNA (with a specific anti-codon) for a particular amino acid; and 'wobble' base-pairing, i.e. permitting non-standard base-pairing at the 3rd anti-codon position.
Source: RNAcentral
GUAAAGAUGGCUGAGUUUUAGGCGGUGGGUUGUAAUUCCAUUUAUGGGGUAGAUCCCCCUCUUUGC